AUGGUUUUCAAAGACUCAGAAAACGCACCAAGAGAUCUUCAGCAAAUCCGAUCGAAACGAUACCACGAUAAGAAACAGUCUAAUCUAGGUUCAAGUAACGUACCGGACCAGGUUUGGGAAGCCUUGGCAAUGGUCAAUAAGCAUGAAUUUGUAGCAGAAGUUGUUUAUACACGUGGAAAUAACAUGCCGCCGUCUAUAAUAUGCUACAGUCAAAUGCAAAUGGAAGACAUGAAACUGCAUUGCGAAAACGAUCCCGAUUCCAUACUUGGCAUUGAUAGAACAUUUAACCUAGGUCCUACAUAUGUAACAAACUUUGUGUACAAAAACAAGAAGGUUGUAAAAAAAUCAUCACGUGAUCAUCCUAUAUUUGUUGGUCCGGUAUUUUUUCACUGGGACGCCUCAUAUUAUACUUACCACUCAUUUCUGUCACAUGUGAAAGCACGUCUCGACGCCGAUGUAAAAUAUAUUGACAUACGUAUAGGCUCAGACGACGAGGGUGGUAUCACUAAAGCCAUUGAUAAAGUUUUCAACACUUCAGAAAGACUCUUGUGUACAAAACACAUGAAAGACAAUGUUACCGACCAUAUGAAAAAUAAAUUGCCCUUAACAAAAGAAGAACGAUCACAUAUUAUGUCGGACUUGUUUGGUGAUGAUGGUAUCGUGACAUCAAAUGACACUAUUGAUUUUAAUUUGAAAUCCGAAAACCUGUGCAAUAAAUACCCCAUCAUCACAGAUUAUUACACAAAGAGACUGAAAAACAGACUCUUUCACCACGUAAAUAGACCGCUAAAAAACUCUUCAAAUCCAGACCGAUUGUGGACAAACAACAAUUGUGAAAGCAUGAACCACAGAUUUAAAAUUGCAACAGACUGGAAGCCGCAGAUUCUGCCCUAA
This 894-nucleotide small RNA is filed under the name Mytilus galloprovincialis (Mediterranean mussel). Lineage: Eukaryota; Metazoa; Mollusca; Bivalvia; Mytilida; Mytilidae. The record is from RNAcentral.